This 521-nucleotide ribosomal RNA is filed under the name uncultured Glomeraceae. Its description in RNAcentral is "SSU rRNA". It matches the Rfam family "Eukaryotic small subunit ribosomal RNA", at positions 569 to 1092 of the family's 1831-position model. The record is from RNAcentral. Lineage: Eukaryota; Fungi; Glomeromycota; Glomeromycetes; Glomerales; Glomeraceae.
AGCAGCCGCGGUAAUUCCAGCUCCAAUAGCGUAUAUUAAAGUUGUUGCAGUUAAAAAGCUCGUAGUUGAAUUUCGGGAUCAAGUCGUCGGUCGUGCUCAGGUACGUACUGGCGUCAUUGAUUUCUCCCUUCUGACGAACCAUGAUGUCAUUAAUUUGGUGUUAUGGGAAAUCAGGACUGUUACUUUGAAAAAAUUAGAGUGUUUAAAGCAGGCUCACGCUUGAAUACAUUAGCAUGGAAUAAUGAAAUAGGACGUUCGAUCCUAUUUUGUUGGUUUUUAGGAUCAACGUAAUGAUUAAUAGGGAUAGUUGGGGGCAUUAGUAUUCAAUUGUCAGAGGUGAAAUUCUUGGAUUUAUUGAAGACUAACUACUGCGAAAGCAUUUGCCAAGGAUGUUUUCAUUAAUCAAGAACGAAAGUUAGGGGAUCGAAGACGAUCAGAUACCGUCGUAGUCUUAACCAUAAACUAUGCCGACUAGGGAUCGGAUGAUGUUAAUUUUUUAAUGACUCAUUCGGCGCCUUACG